RNAcentral lists this ribosomal RNA (580 nucleotides) under uncultured bacterium. RNAcentral describes it as "partial 16S ribosomal RNA". It matches the Rfam family "Bacterial small subunit ribosomal RNA", at positions 355 to 932 of the family's 1533-position model. The record is from RNAcentral.
UGGGGAAUUUUGGACAAUGGGCGAAAGCCUGAUCCAGCAAUGCCGCGUGUGUGAAGAAGGCCUUCGGGUUGUAAAGCACUUUUGUCCGGAAAGAAAUCCUUGGCUCUAAUACAGUCGGGGGAUGACGGUACCGGAAGAAUAAGCACCGGCUAACUACGUGCCAGCAGCCGCGGUAAUACGUAGGGUGCAAGCGUUAAUCGGAAUUACUGGGCAUAAAGCGUGCGCAGGCGGUUUGCUAAGACCGAUGUGAAAUCCCCGGGCUCAACCUGGGAACUGCAUUGGUGACUGGCAGGCUAGAGUAUGGCAGAGGGGGGUAGAAUUCCACGUGUAGCAGUGAAAUGCGUAGAGAUGUGGAGGAAUACCGAUGGCGAAGGCAGCCCCCUGGGCCAAUACUGACGCUCAUGCACGAAAGCGUGGGGGAGCAAACAGGAUUAGAUACCCUGGUAGUCCACGCCCUAAACGAUGUCAACUAGUUGUUGGGGAUUCAUUUCCUUAGUAACGUAGCUAACGCGUGAAGUUGACCGCCUGGGGAGUACGGUCGCAAGAUUAAAACUCAAAUGAAUUGACGGGGUCAUAGCUG